RNAcentral lists this long non-coding RNA (1578 nucleotides) under Anas platyrhynchos platyrhynchos (common mallard). Its description in RNAcentral is "lncRNA (ENSAPLG00000020181.1)". The record is from RNAcentral. Lineage: Eukaryota; Metazoa; Chordata; Aves; Anseriformes; Anatidae.
GUAGUUUUGAAUAGUAUUCCUAGAAACCAGCACAUUGAGCGUGAAGUUAUUCACAUUGGCCUGGAGAAACCACAGAAGGAAAGAGCAGGACCACAGUCAGAGACAGCAGGACCCUCUGUGCUCAGUCUGCUUCUGGAGAGGAGGGAAACCUGCUUCAAACCUUCAUGCAGCCUGACCUGUGGCAAGGAUGUGCUCAAGUCCAGCACACCGCUCAUGAGCACGCACAUCAGUCCUGCUCACCCGCUGUCCCCGCAGCAACUAUGUGAGGUAAAAUAUCUUCAAAAAGAGAAACUGGGAGAGGGUCAUCAUAAAACACCAGGUGAAGCAGUAAGCAGCAUGCUGACAGAGGAUACAAAGGUACGGCAUUCAAAUAUUUGUUCAAAAUGAACUGGAGAGUGUGAGUUUGCAAAAAUACCCCACUUCCCGGGUCAGCCUUCUGUCUACUACAUCUGUCUGCUACUACAUCUGUCUACUACUACAUCUGUCUGCCACAUCCUUAAAAGCCUGAUCAGUGGCUGCUCGCAAAAGCAGGACAUGGUUCGAGAAGAAUCACGAAGACCAUCCUAGAGGUGUGGCAAGAGAAACCUUGCUGCACUUGAGAAUCAACGCAAGGACCCAGGGGCAAGUGGGGCUCACAAAAUAUCAGCCAUACCAAAGCUGAAGCUGUGGCAGGCUUGACAAGAGGCAGAGGUUUGGGCAGACAGCAAGGGCUUUCAUUUGUGCCAAGAAAUCAAGUUGUAGGUGCCUGGAGGUAAUACCCCUCUGAUACUCACAUACCCAUAGCUGCCUAUAUUACUCAAUGUGAAGAUGCAGAUGAACUUUGCAAAAGCUUAAUGUAGAAGGAUUUCACAGCCAGCUCUUCGUCAGCAUUUUCUCACUGCUAAUGGACAGACUUUUGUUAUCUUCCCUCCUUCAUGCUACCUUGUGAAAGAAGGUUCUGCUCUCCCUGAGGAAGAGGAGUGCAGCUGUGUAUUUCUUUUAUAUUGGAUGCAGUAUCUGUUGAACCCUGCCAAAAUUUUCACUCCUCCUUAGGCUUCCUUGUUAAGUGUAUAACAGUAAUAUUUAUGUGAAAUCAGCUGAGAGUUAUACAUUCAAAAGACAACUAUCCCAAAGAAUAUUUAUAUGAUUGCAUUCAGCUAACAGUAAAAUGCUACAGAUUUGCCUUCACAGAAUCUAUUUACACAAUGCUAUAACAUGCACAGCUGCUGGAAACCUCUCAAUUGAUUUCAGUAGGUUACUGUACCUUAAGGUAAUGAUGAAACCUGCUUUAAAAUGAUUAACUGUACAUUUCUCAUUGUCCUAUAUUCUUGAAUAUAUAAUAAUAUUCUUGAAAGUCUCGUCUAGGAACAUCAUUCUAAAAUCUGUGUGUGUUAUAUAUGCUUCAGACUUGUAUUGUGGACUUUAUUAAAUUUAAGCUUACUGAAAUGUGCACUAAGUAAUUUUCACAAUGUUUGCACUAUGGCACCAUUCCCAGUCUUCAAUUCCAUGGAUUUCUGUCUCUAUGGCUGCCAGUGAAAUUCUUAUUUCCUUCUAUAGGCAAAAAAUAAAAAUAAGAUAAUUCAAUAGUGUCUUUGUGAG